UACGUAGGGUGCAGGCGUUAUUCGGAAUUACUGGGCGUAAAGCGUGCGUAGGCGGUCCGCUAAGAGAGAUGUGAAAUCCCCGGGCUUAACCUGGGAACUGCGUUUCUAACUGGCAGGCUUGAGUGCGGCAGAGGGGGGUGGAAUUCCACGUGUAGCAGUGAAAUGCGUAGAGAUGUGGAGGAACACCGAUGGCGAAGGCAGCCCGCUGGGCUAACACUGACGCUCAUGCACGAAAGCGUGGGGAGCAAACAGG
RNAcentral lists this ribosomal RNA (253 nucleotides) under uncultured bacterium. RNAcentral's name for it is "partial 16S ribosomal RNA". It matches the Rfam family "Bacterial small subunit ribosomal RNA", at positions 524 to 776 of the family's 1533-position model. The record is from RNAcentral.